AGUUUUCUGUUGACCUAUUGAUUUAAUUGAGAUAUAUAGUGUCAGGUCACAUGUACCAUAUAUAGAAAUAGAAGAUGUGGUAUGAUUUUUUAAUGCCGCAACUCUUCACAAGAGACCAAAAUGACACAGACACUAAAAACUAUAAGUCACCGUUCGGCAUUCAACAAUGGGCAAAGCCCAUAUCGCAUAGUUAGCUAUAAAAUGCCACCGAAUGACAAUGUAAAAGAAUUUAAACGAGAAAACUAACGGCCUUAUGUAUGUACAAAUAAUAAACGAAAAACAAAUAUGUAACACAUAAACAAAAGACAGUCACUGAAUUAUAGGCUUCUGACUUGGGACAGACAAAUACAUACAGAAUGAGACGUGGCUAAACAUGAUAGUUUGACUGAUUUUCCAUUGACAAAGUGUGAGGGUAUCUUCACAAACACCACAGUUUCAUGGCAGCCCUCUGAUUAGUUUACUAGAUGUUUGAACAUGGCCAUGUUGUGAAUGUUAGAUUCUUACCAUUCCAGAG
RNAcentral lists this long non-coding RNA (514 nucleotides) under Mytilus galloprovincialis (Mediterranean mussel). Lineage: Eukaryota; Metazoa; Mollusca; Bivalvia; Mytilida; Mytilidae. The record is from RNAcentral.